Molecule: ribosomal RNA, 387 nt
Filed under: uncultured fungus
Lineage: Eukaryota; Fungi
Description: bacterial SSU rRNA
Rfam family: Eukaryotic small subunit ribosomal RNA
Source: RNAcentral
UCAUAAUAACUUCUCGAAUCGCAUGCCUUGUUGCGGCGAUGCUUCAAUUCAAAUAUCUGCCCUUAUCAACUUUCGAUGGUAGGAUAGAGGCCUACCAUGGUUUCAACGGGUAACGGGGAAUAAGGGUUCGAUUCCGGAGAGGGAGCCUGAGAAACGGUACCACAUCCAAGGAAGGCAGCAGGGCGCAAAUUACCCAAUCCCGACACGGGGAGGUAGUGACAAUAAAUAACAAUAUAGGGCUCUUUCGGGUCUUAUAAUUUGGGGAAUGAGGUUACAAAUUUUAAAAUCCCUUUAAGAGGGAACAAUUGGGAGGGCAAGGUUCUUGGGUUGGCAAGAAGGCCGGGGGUAAAUUUCCAGGGUUCCCAAAUUAGGCGUUAUUAUUAAAAG